CUACGGGUCGCUCCAGGCGAGAAAACUUUGCAAUGUGCGAAAGCACGACAAGGUUAAUCCGAGUGGUUUCUGCUAAAGGAACCUUUUGUCGGUCCUAGAAACACCGAUGAAUAAGGGGUGGGCAAGUUCUGGUGUCAGCCGCGCGCGGUAAAACCAGCACCUCAAGUGGUCAGGAUGAUUAUUGGGCCUAAAGCAUCCGUAGCCGGCUUUGUUAGUUUUCGGUUAAAUCUGUACGCUCAACGUACAGGCUGCCGGAAAUACUGCAGAGCUAGGGAGUGGGAGAGGUAGACGGUACUCGGUAGGAAGGGGUAAAAUCCUUUGAUCUAUUGAUGACCACCUGUGGCGAAGGCGGUCUACCAGAACACGUCCGACGGUGAGGGAUGAAAGCUGGGGGAGCAAACCGGAUUAGAUACCCUAGUAGUC
This 423-nucleotide ribosomal RNA is filed under the name uncultured archaeon. RNAcentral's name for it is "partial 16S ribosomal RNA". It matches the Rfam family "Archaeal small subunit ribosomal RNA", at positions 323 to 746 of the family's 1478-position model. The record is from RNAcentral.